CCUUUUGGACUUUUCUCUAGGUUUGGCGCUAAACUCUUCUUGUGAGCUCACUCCACCCCUUCUUCCUCCCUUUAACUUAUCCAUUCACUUAAAACAUUACCUGGU
Unclassified non-coding RNA from Gorilla gorilla gorilla (western lowland gorilla), 105 nucleotides. NCBI's taxonomy places the organism in Eukaryota, Metazoa, Chordata, Mammalia, Primates, Hominidae. The record is from Ensembl.